UACGUAGGGUGCGAGCGUUAAUCGGAAUUACUGGGCGUAAAGCGUGCGCAGGCGGUUGUGCAAGACAGAUGUGAAAUCCCCGGGCCUAACCUGGGAACUGCAUUUGUGACUGCACAGCUGGAGUGCGGCAGAGGGGGAUGGAAUUCCGCGUGUAGCAGUGAAAUGCGUAGAUAUGCGGAGGAACACCGAUGGCGAAGGCAAUCCCCUGGGCCUGCACUGACGCUCAUGCACGAAAGCGUGGGGAGCAAACAGG
RNAcentral lists this ribosomal RNA (253 nucleotides) under uncultured bacterium. RNAcentral describes it as "partial 16S ribosomal RNA". It matches the Rfam family "Bacterial small subunit ribosomal RNA", at positions 524 to 776 of the family's 1533-position model. The record is from RNAcentral.